This 717-nucleotide ribosomal RNA is filed under the name Enterococcus faecalis. Its description in RNAcentral is "bacterial SSU rRNA". It matches the Rfam family "Bacterial small subunit ribosomal RNA", at positions 1 to 692 of the family's 1533-position model. The record is from RNAcentral. Lineage: Bacteria; Bacillati; Bacillota; Bacilli; Lactobacillales; Enterococcaceae.
UAUGAGAGUUUGAUCCUGGCUCAGGACGAACGCUGGCGGCGUGCCUAAUACAUGCAAGUCGAACGCUUCUUUCCUCCCGAGUGCUUGCACUCAAUUGGAAAGAGGAGUGGCGGACGGGUGAGUAACACGUGGGUAACCUACCCAUCAGAGGGGGAUAACACUUGGAAACAGGUGCUAAUACCGCAUAACAGUUUAUGCCGCAUGGCAUAAGAGUGAAAGGCGCUUUCGGGUGUCGCUGAUGGAUGGACCCGCGGUGCAUUAGCUAGUUGGUGAGGUAACGGCUCACCAAGGCCACGAUGCAUAGCCGACCUGAGAGGGUGAUCGGCCACACUGGGACUGAGACACGGCCCAGACUCCUACGGGAGGCAGCAGUAGGGAAUCUUCGGCAAUGGACGAAAGUCUGACCGAGCAACGCCGCGUGAGUGAAGAAGGUUUUCGGAUCGUAAAACUCUGUUGUUAGAGAAGAACAAGGACGUUAGUAACUGAACGUCCCCUGACGGUAUCUAACCAGAAAGCCACGGCUAACUACGUGCCAGCAGCCGCGGUAAUACGUAGGUGGCAAGCGUUGUCCGGAUUUAUUGGGCGUAAAGCGAGCGCAGGCGGUUUCUUAAGUCUGAUGUGAAAGCCCCCGGCUCAACCGGGGAGGGUCAUUGGAAACUGGGAGACUUGAGUGCAGAAGAGGAGAGUGGAAUUCCAUGUGUAGCGGUGAAAUGCGUA